GUGCCAGCAGCCGCGGUAAUACGGAGGUUCCAAGCGUUGUUCGGAAUUACUGGGCGUAAAGGGAGCGCAGGCGGUCUGAUCAGUCUAAAGUGGAAGCCCGGGGCUCAACCUCGGAAAGCCUUUGGAUACUGUCAGACUUGAGUACGUGAGAGGAAGGCGGAAUUCAAGGUGUAGCGGUGAAAUGCUUAGAUAUCUUGAGGAACACCAAUGGCGAAAGCAGCCUUCUGGCACGACACUGACGCUGAGGCUCGAAAGCGUGGGGAGCAAACAGGAUUAGAAACCCCUGUAGUCC
Molecule: ribosomal RNA, 292 nt
Filed under: uncultured bacterium
Lineage: Bacteria
Description: partial 16S ribosomal RNA
Rfam family: Bacterial small subunit ribosomal RNA
Source: RNAcentral